GAUAGAAAAACCAGAACCCCCUCCCCAUCAAAACCUAGCCUCCACAUGGUCCCCUACGUUCAACAAACGGAUUCUCCUCCUUUGACCUUAGAGAAAACCAAACGACCCCGCUUCUCUUUCCCUAAUUAAAAUGGUGGACAGAAACCCCUCCCCCCAUGGCUGAACCCCGCCGCCAGACCAGAUCCCUUCCCCCAUAGCAAAAAACUCUAGGUCCCCUAACUCUCUCUCUUUGAACAACAGAAAUGGCAGAGACCAUCCCCCCAUUUUGAAAACCCUAAGUCACCUCUUCUUUUCUCUUCUCCAUCUUCUCCAGAAACCCUUUCCUCCACCCAGAAAUCCGACCAGCCGAGUAGAAAACAGACCCCCAUUUGAAAACCCUAGCCGUCGUCGGACUUCUCUUUGUCCUCUCCAAUCUCCUGGAUAUCCAUAUACACAUUACAUAUAUCGAAACCACAAUGGUUGUGAAGUUUUAGGACCCCGGAUCCGAGCUUCAAAAUUUUAUAAGAAAAACUAAAGUAAAAAAGAGAUACUGAAGCUGUUCUUAAAUACCAGCAUGUUUUAUUCAUAUUUCAUGGUAUUUAGAAGGACAUUCAAGUUGUUUUUGCUAUUAUUUCUGUUGUCACAGCUGAAUAUCAACAAUUAGGAAUUCCAGAUCUUUAUUUUGUCUUAACCGUUUUUCCUUCUUUAUGUGUGUAGUUUCUCAUCUGUUACAUUUAUUUUGAGUUUAUAAAUGAAAAAUUGCUAUGUUCCUGCUGAGUUCUUGUCUGAUUUAGAUCUGGAUUGCCUAAAUUUUGAAUUUCUAUUUGCUUUUCUUCUUCUUGUAAAUAGCUUAUGCUCAAUAUGUUUUCUAGUAAAGGACUCAAGUUUUUAGUUGCAUACCACUCAGAGUUUAAUAAUAUGAAAGUUUGUUUGGCGGAUUUAUGAAUCUUUCUAGGCUGGCUGAAACACAUUUGAUUUCAUUUGUAUUAGAGGCCGUAUCUCACAAAUUUAGAACACUAUUCCAGUCUUUUGAAUCAUUAUAGAGGCCGCAGGAUUUUGGGAUUCAUCUUAUAGUGGCCUGAUGGUUCAU
Molecule: long non-coding RNA, 1069 nt
Filed under: Nicotiana benthamiana
Lineage: Eukaryota; Viridiplantae; Streptophyta; Magnoliopsida; Solanales; Solanaceae
Description: long non-coding RNA (NBEN_LNC010790)
Source: RNAcentral